AAAAAAGGUAAGCUACUAAGAGCGAAUGGUGGAUGCCUUGACUGGUAAAGGCGAUGAAGGACGUACUAGACUGCGAUAAGCUACGGGGAGCUGUCAAGAAGCUUUGAUCCGUAGAUUUCCGAAUGGGGCAACCCAAUGUAUAGAGAUAUACAUUACCUAUAUAGGAGCGAACGAGGGGAAUUGAAACAUCUUAGUACCCUCAGGAAAAGAAAUCAAUAGAGAUUGCGUCAGUAGCGGCGAGCGAAAGCGCAAGAGGGCAAACCCAGUGCUUGCACUGGGGGUUGUAGGACUGCAAUGUGCAAGAGCUGAGUUUAGCAGAACAUUCUGGAAAGUAUAGCCAUAGAGGGUGAUAGUCCCGUAUGCGAAAAACAAAGCUUAGCUAGCAGUAUCCUGAGUAGGGCGGGACACGAGGAAUCCUGUCUGAAUCCGGGUCGACCACGAUCCAACCCUAAAUACUAAUACCAGAUCGAUAGUGCACAAGUACCGUGAGGGAAAGGUGAAAAGAACUGAGGUGAUCAGAGUGAAAUAGAACCUGAAACCAUUUGCUUACAAUCAUUCAGAGCACUAUGUAGCAAUACAGUGUGAUGGACUGCCUUUUGCAUAAUGAGCCUGCGAGUUGUGGUGUCUGGCAAGGUUAAGCAAACGCGAAGCCGUAGCGAAAGCGAGUCUGAAUAGGGCGCUUAGUCAGAUGCUGCAGACCCGAAACGAAGUGAUCUAUCCAUGAGCAAGUUGAAGCUAGUGUAAGAACUAGUGGAGGACUGAACCCAUAGGCGUUGAAAAGCCCCGGGAUGACUUGUGGAUAGGGGUGAAAGGCCAAUCAAACUUCGUGAUAGCUGGUUCUCUCCGAAAUAUAUUUAGGUAUAGCGUUGUGUCGUAAUAUAAGGGGGUAGAGCACUGAAUGGGCUAGGGCAUACACCAAUGUACCAAACCCUAUCAAACUCCGAAUACCUUAUAUGUAAUCACAGCAGUCAGGCGGCGAGUGAUAAAAUCCGUCGUCAAGAGGGAAACAACCCAGACUACCAGCUAAGGUCCCUAAAUCUUACUUAAGUGGAAAACGAUGUGAAGUUACUUAAACAACCAGGAGGUUGGCUUAGAAGCAGCCAUCCUUUAAAGAAAGCGUAAUAGCUCACUGGUCUAGUGAUUUUGCGCGGAAAAUAUAACGGGGCUAAAGUAAGUACCGAAGCUGUAGACUUGCGCACAACUUAGAUUAUUUAAGUUUAGAAUAUGAGAAACUAAGUUAUGUUUAGUUAUAUUUUUACUGAUUUUUAUAGAGUAAAGAUAGAAAUAAAACUUAGUAAAAUCAGUAAAAAUAUUCUUAGGCUAAAGUUAAGUAGUUUAAGUUGUGUGCAAGUGGUAGGAGAGCGUUCUAUUUGCGUCGAAGGUAUACCGGUAAGGAGUGCUGGAGCGAAUAGAAGUGAGCAUGCAGGCAUGAGUAGCGAUAAUUAAUGUGAGAAUCAUUAACGCCGUAAACCCAAGGUUUCCUACGCGAUGCUCGUCAUCGUAGGGUUAGUCGGGUCCUAAGUCGAGUCCGAAAGGGGUAGACGAUGGCAAAUUGGUUAAUAUUCCAAUACCAACAUUAGUGUGCGAUGG
This 1590-nucleotide ribosomal RNA is filed under the name Campylobacter jejuni. Its description in RNAcentral is "partial 23S ribosomal RNA". It matches the Rfam family "Bacterial large subunit ribosomal RNA", at positions 1 to 1463 of the family's 2925-position model. Lineage: Bacteria; Pseudomonadati; Campylobacterota; Epsilonproteobacteria; Campylobacterales; Campylobacteraceae. The record is from RNAcentral.